RNAcentral lists this ribosomal RNA (483 nucleotides) under uncultured bacterium. Its description in RNAcentral is "partial 16S ribosomal RNA". It matches the Rfam family "Bacterial small subunit ribosomal RNA", at positions 28 to 507 of the family's 1533-position model. The record is from RNAcentral.
GAUGAACGCUGGCGGCGUGCCUAACACAUGCAAGUCGAACGAAGCUUGACGGAUGAUUUCUUCGGAAUGAAACCAGAUAUGACUUAGUGGCGGACGGGUGAGUAACACGUGAGCAACCUGCCUUUCAGAGGGGGAUAACGGCUGGAAACGGUCGCUAAUACCGCAUGAUGUGUUCGGAUGGCAUCAUCUGAACAUCAAAGAUUUAUCGCUGAAAGAUGGGCUCGCGUCUGAUUAGAUAGUUGGUGGGGUAACGGCCUACCAAGUCUACGAUCAGUAGCCGGACUGAGAGGUUGAACGGCCACAUUGGGACUGAGGUACGGCCCAGACUCCUACGGGAGGCAGCAGUGGGGAAUAUUGCACAAUGGGGGAAACCCUGAUGCAGCAACGCUGCGUGAAGGAUGACGGUUUUCGGAUUGUAAACUUCUUUUCUUAGUGACGAAGACAGUGACGGUAGCUAAGGAAUAAGCAUCGGCUAACUACGUG